RNAcentral lists this non-coding RNA (446 nucleotides) under Rasamsonia emersonii CBS 393.64. RNAcentral's name for it is "Bacterial large subunit ribosomal RNA". It matches the Rfam family "Bacterial large subunit ribosomal RNA", at positions 855 to 1236 of the family's 2925-position model. Lineage: Eukaryota; Fungi; Ascomycota; Eurotiomycetes; Eurotiales; Trichocomaceae. The record is from Rfam by way of RNAcentral.
UUCCGCGAAACCUAUAUGAGUAGGUAAUUUAAUUCACAUCUUAGCAGGUACAGAACUGUGAUCUCGGACAAUAUCGUCAAGUUUUUAACUUGAUGAUUUUUGUAUACAUCGGGGGAUUGUAGUGAUUUUACCGGAGAGUAUUUGCACUCGGAAGGGCAAAGAUGAAUGUUGAAUAAUCGGACAUAGUACGAUAAGGUUGUAUGUCUAAAGGGAAACAGCCCAGAACAAGAGUUAAGGUUCCAAAAUUAUUGUUGAGUGAAAUUAAGGAUGUUUUUUUUAAUACAAUCAGGAAAUAGGCUUAGAAGCGGCCAUUUUUUGAAGAUCUCGUAACAGAGCACUGAUUAAAAUUUUAGAAAAAAACACCGAAAAUUUAACGGAUACUAAACAAUAUACCGAAACCUUGUACACAUAUGUAUAAUAAUUAUUGUAUAUGUGGGGUAGCGGAA